RNAcentral lists this ribosomal RNA (512 nucleotides) under uncultured bacterium. RNAcentral's name for it is "partial 16S ribosomal RNA". It matches the Rfam family "Bacterial small subunit ribosomal RNA", at positions 28 to 523 of the family's 1533-position model. The record is from RNAcentral.
GACGAACGCUGGCGGCGUGCCUAAUACAUGCAAGUCGAGCGAAUGGAAGGGAGCUUGCUCCCUGAAGUUAGCGGCGGACGGGUGAGUAACACGUGGGCAACCUGCCUGUAAGACUGGGAUAACUUCGGGAAACCAGAGCUAAUACCGGAUACGUUCUUUUCUCGCAUGAGGAAAGAUGGAAAGAUGGUUUCGGCUAUCACUUACAGAUGGGCCGGCGGCGCAUUAGCUAGUUGGUGGGGUAAUGGCCCACCAAGGCGACGAGGCGUAGCCGAACUGAGAGGGUGAUCGGCCAAAGUGGGACUGAGACACGGCCCAGACUCCUACGGGAGGCAGCAGUAGGGAAUCUUCCGCAAUGGACGAAAGUCUGACGGAGCAACGCCGCGUGAGCGAAGAAGGCCUUCGGGUCGUAAAGCUCUGUUGUCAGGGAAGAACAAGUGCCAGAGUAACUGCUGGCACCUUGACGGUACCUGACCAGAAAGCCACGGCUAACUACGUGCCAGCAGCCGCCGUAA